AUACGUAGGGUGCGAGCGUUGUCCGGAAUUACUGGGUGUAAAGGGAGCGUAGGCGGGAGUGCAAGUCAGAUGUGAAAUACAUGGGCUCAACCCAUGGGCUGCAUUUGAAACUGCAUUUCUUGAGUGAAGUAGAGGUAAGCGGAAUUCCUGGUGUAGCGGUGAAAUGCGUAGAUAUCAGGAGGAACACCGGUGGCGAAGGCGGCUUACUGGGCUUUUACUGACGCUGAGGCUCGAAAGCGUGGGGAGCAAACAGGAUUAGAUACCCUGGUAGUCCACGCUGUAAACGAUGAUUACUAGGUGUGGGGGGACUGACCCCUUCCGUGCCGCAGUUAACACAAUAAGUAAUCCACCUGGGGAGUACGGCCGCAAGGUUGAAACUUAAAGGAAUUGACGGGG
This 396-nucleotide ribosomal RNA is filed under the name uncultured bacterium. RNAcentral's name for it is "partial 16S ribosomal RNA". It matches the Rfam family "Bacterial small subunit ribosomal RNA", at positions 523 to 918 of the family's 1533-position model. The record is from RNAcentral.